This 216-nucleotide unclassified non-coding RNA is filed under the name plant metagenome. RNAcentral describes it as "partial contains small subunit ribosomal RNA, internal transcribed spacer 1, and 5.8S ribosomal RNA". The record is from RNAcentral.
UCUCCGUAGGUGAACCUGCGGAGGGAUCAUUACAAGUGACCCCGGUCUAACCACCGGGAUGUUCAUAACCCUUUGUUGUCCGACUCUGUUGCCUCCGGGCGACCCUGCCUUCGGGCGGGGGCUCCGGGUGGACACUUCAAACUCUUGCGUAACUUUGCAGUCUGAGUAAACUUAAUUAAUAAAUUAAAACUUUUAACAACGGAUCUCUUGGUUCUG